RNAcentral lists this microRNA (23 nucleotides) under Sarcophilus harrisii (Tasmanian devil). RNAcentral describes it as "Sha-Novel-17_5p (mature (guide))". Lineage: Eukaryota; Metazoa; Chordata; Mammalia; Dasyuromorphia; Dasyuridae. The record is from RNAcentral.
UUUGGGGGGUGAUCUUGGACAUC